RNAcentral lists this ribosomal RNA (799 nucleotides) under uncultured Glomeromycotina. RNAcentral describes it as "SSU rRNA". It matches the Rfam family "Eukaryotic small subunit ribosomal RNA", at positions 314 to 1114 of the family's 1831-position model. The record is from RNAcentral. Lineage: Eukaryota; Fungi; Glomeromycota.
AUCAACUUUCGAUGGUAGGAUAGAGGCCUACCAUGGUGGUAACGGGUAACGGGGUGUUAGGGCACGACACCGGAGAGGGAGCCUGAGAAACGGCUACCACAUCCAAGGAUGGCAGCAGGCGCGCAAAUUACCCAAUCCCGACACGGGGAGGUAGUGACAAUAAAUAACAAUACGGGGUUCUUUCGGAUUUCGUAAUUGGAAUGAGUACAAUUUAAAUCUCUUAACGAGGAACAAUUGGAGGGCAAGUCUGGUGCCAGCAGCCGCGGUAAUUCCAGCUCCAAUAGCGUAUAUUAAAGUUGUUGCAGUUAAAAAGCUCGUAGUUGAAUUUCGGGAUCAAUAUAUCGGUCGUGCCUUCGGUACGAACUGGUAUUAUUGAUUUCUACCUUCUGACGAAUCAUGAUGUCAUUAAUUUGGUGUCAUGGGGAAUCAGGACUGUUACUUUGAAAAAAUUAGAGUGUUUAAAGCAGGCACACGCUUGAAUACAUUAGCAUGGAAUAAUGAAAUAGGACGUUUGAUCUUAUUUUGUUGGUUUUUAGGAUCGACGUAAUGAUUAAUAGGGAUAGUUGGGGGCAUUAGUAUUCAAUUGUCAGAGGUGAAAUUCUUGGAUUUAUUGAAGACUAACUACUGCGAAAGCAUUUGCCAAGGAUGUUUUCAUUAAUCAAGAACGAAAGUUAGGGGAUCGAAGACGAUCAGAUACCGUCGUAGUCUUAACCAUAAACUAUGCCGACUAGGGAUCGGAUGAUGUUAAUUUUUUAAUGACUCAUUCGGCGCCUUACGGGAAACCAAAGUGUUUGGGUUC